This 777-nucleotide long non-coding RNA is filed under the name Junco hyemalis (dark-eyed junco). RNAcentral's name for it is "lncRNA (ENSJHYG00000008003.1)". Lineage: Eukaryota; Metazoa; Chordata; Aves; Passeriformes; Passerellidae. The record is from RNAcentral.
UUCCCAGCAGCCGGGCAGGCACUUCUGGUUUGAUUCAUGCAUGUUUUAUUUAAGAUUUACCAUCUUGCUGAAGAUGAAAAUCUGAACUAGACACGGCCCCCACUUCCUUCCAACGCACAACAAGGGAUCCUACUUGCCCUGGUCCUUAGAGCAAAGCCUGUGUGUGAUGUGCAGCACCUCUGGGUGCCAGGAGCCAGGGCAUGUGGGGCAGUAAAUCUGACAGAUGAGAAGGUCUUACUGGAGAUGCGCCAUGGAUUUGUCACCCAGUGUCAGAAGGAUGUGUCAGCAGCCCUGCCUGGGCUCUGGGAAACCUGAACAUGGGAACCAGCAGCCAGGGAGGAGUCUCCUUGGAUGGGCCAGACAUCUGAGACCUGAACUGCCAGCAUCUCUACACAGAAAAAGCGAAGAAGAGUAAAUUUAGUAUCACAAACUAAUCCCAGAAAGACGCUGUGAGACUUAUUUGAGGAUUUAAAAUUCCCUGAAAUCCUAAGAUGAAAGGGAUUUUGAAAAUGCAAAUAGCAAAAAUAUUUUUUCCCUCAGUCAGAUUGAACUAAGCUAUUUAAAAGCCAAAUAACACAGGCAGGAAAUUUUCGUUUUGAAUUUGUUUGUGAAGCAACCAUUAAACGCUUUAGUUUUUUAAGCUCUAUGUUUUCUGAAGAAACAAUGGACCAUUUCUUUAUAGGUGCUGGUAAAAUCUGUUACAAUAGCUGUUAGUAAAACCAUUUAAUUACAUGGCACUUAAGAAUGUCUGAGACUGGUGAGAUUUUCCCAUUGGAG